This is a long non-coding RNA of Maniola jurtina (meadow brown), 94 nucleotides long. RefSeq lists it as uncharacterized. Lineage: Eukaryota; Metazoa; Arthropoda; Insecta; Lepidoptera; Nymphalidae. The record is from RefSeq and is a predicted model, not a curated record. The transcript has 2 exons.
CGUAGCAGUGUAGUUGCAAGGAGUUAGAGCUUGUCUUGUUUGUCGAGAGACACUCUCGGUAAGAUCGAUUUGAUUGGCAUCCGAUAGGAGAGAA